ACGAACGCUGGCGGCAUGCCUAAUACAUGCAAGUCGAACGAGAUCUUCGGAUCUAGUGGCGCACGGGUGCGUAACGCGUGGGAAUCUACCCUUGGGUUCGGAAUAACUUCGGGAAACUGAAGCUAAUACCGGAUGAUGACGAAAGUCCAAAGAUUUAUCGCCCAGGGAUGAGCCCGCGUAGGAUUAGCUAGUUGGUGGGGUAAAGGCUCACCAAGGCAACGAUCCUUAGCUGGUCUGAGAGGAUGAUCAGCCACACUGGGACUGAGACACGGCCCAGACUCCUACGGGAGGCAGCAGUAGGGAAUAUUGGACAAUGGGGGCAACCCUGAUCCAGCAAUGCCGCGUGAGUGAUGAAGGCCUUAGGGUUGUAAAGCUCUUUUACCCGAGAUGAUAAUGACAGUAUCGGGAGAAUAAGCUCCGGCUAACUCCGU
RNAcentral lists this ribosomal RNA (431 nucleotides) under uncultured bacterium. RNAcentral describes it as "bacterial SSU rRNA". It matches the Rfam family "Bacterial small subunit ribosomal RNA", at positions 29 to 506 of the family's 1533-position model. The record is from RNAcentral.